Non-coding RNA from Podarcis lilfordi (Lilford's wall lizard), 1313 nucleotides. Lineage: Eukaryota; Metazoa; Chordata; Lepidosauria; Squamata; Lacertidae. The record is from the annotation of a GenBank genome assembly.
GCGAUAGACAAAGGCAUUCUUUACGUCCCAUGUACACUUAUGCUUAGGAUCAAACUCAAGUAAGACACGUUUCCAAGUAAAUAUGCAUAGGACCAGGGUAUAAGAAGCACAGGAAUGAAUGGAUAAUAGGGGACAUUGUCAAAAUAGAAUGACGUCAACCCAGCUUUCUUCUCUUUCCAGAACUGGCCUACCAGAUGCCUCCAGAAAGACCAGAAGAAGGGCAUGAAGACCACAAUAUUCCUCAAUUAUUAUUAUUUUGUCCCCAAAAGUAUAUUGUGGCCCAGUGGUAGAGCACCUGCUUUUUGUGCAGAAGGCUCCGGGUUCAAUCCUCAGCAUCUUCAGGUAGGGCGAGGAGACCCAUCUGAAGUCCUGGAGAGCUGCGGCCAGUUAUUGUUGAAAAUACUGAGCUAGAUCAGAGAUCAAUGGUCCAACUCCCUACAAGGCAGCUUCCUAUGUUCCCAUGUCUCUGAACUUGAAGGUUUUCUAACAGCUUUGCUCUCCUAGCACACUUAUUUGGGAAUCAGUCCAGCUCCCAGGAGCUCAAGAGACCCUGCUUCUUGAGACCGUCGCUGGACCUUGCCUCAUGGGUGGACCGGCGCUGCCAUUACUUCUGAACGAGGCAACCCGGGCUUCAUUUAUCUAUACAUUUUAUUUUGUUUUUAAAGACCGCCAUUUGAGGGCAAAAGCUGCCUUGAUUUAUAUGUUGCUUUCCCACAGCUGGUGCCAAAGCAACUUCCAUAGCAGCCAUUUGACGAUUAUUUAAAUGCAACCUCACAUUUGAAACGCGACGUUCUGGAUUUUUCUGACCCAUUUGCAAUCUCCCUUUCUUUGCAGCAAGCUGUGUGUGUAUGUUUGAAUGUUUGUGCACACCUGUAACUCAGUACUGCGGAACACUUUAUGCAUCUGAGGAAGUGAGCUGUAGCCUACAAAAGCUGACACCCUAAUAAACUUCCAUUACCCUUUUAUGAUGUCACCAACAAACACUCUGCUUUUGCUGCAACAGCCAGGAGCGACACAACACACCCUUCUGAAAAAUACCUUAACAUUUACGUAAUUUAAACACCCUAUGUUGUUGUUGUUUAGUUGUUUAGUUGUGUCCGACUCUUCGUGACCCCAUGGACCAGAGCACGCCAGGCCCUCCUGUCUUCCACUGCCUCCCAGAGAGCCAGUGUGGUGUAGUGGUUAAGAGCGGUAGAUUCGUAAUCUGGGGACCCGGGUUCGCGUCUCCGCUCCUCCACAUGCAGCUGCUGGGUGACCUUGGGCCAGUCACACUUCUUUGAAGUCUCUCAGCCCCACUCACCUCAGAGUGUUUG